This 568-nucleotide ribosomal RNA is filed under the name Streptomyces sp. 'Khe che'. RNAcentral's name for it is "bacterial SSU rRNA". It matches the Rfam family "Bacterial small subunit ribosomal RNA", at positions 338 to 916 of the family's 1533-position model. Lineage: Bacteria; Bacillati; Actinomycetota; Actinomycetes; Kitasatosporales; Streptomycetaceae. The record is from RNAcentral.
CCUACGGGAGGCAGCAGUGGGGAAUAUUGCACAAUGGGCGAAAGCCUGAUGCAGCGACGCCGCGUGAGGGAUGACGGCCUUCGGGUUGUAAACCUCUUUCAGCAGGGAAGAAGCGAAAGUGACGGUACCUGCAGAAGAAGCGCCGGCUAACUACGUGCCAGCAGCCGCGGUAAUACGUAGGGCGCGAGCGUUGUCCGGAAUUAUUGGGCGUAAAGAGCUCGUAGGCGGCUUGUCACGUCGGUUGUGAAAGCCCGGGGCUUAACCCCGGGUCUGCAGUCGAUACGGGCAGGCUAGAGUUCGGUAGGGGAGAUCGGAAUUCCUGGUGUAGCGGUGAAAUGCGCAGAUAUCAGGAGGAACACCGGUGGCGAAGGCGGAUCUCUGGGCCGAUACUGACGCUGAGGAGCGAAAGCGUGGGGAGCGAACAGGAUUAGAUACCCUGGUAGUCCACGCCGUAAAUGGUGGGCACUAGGUGUGGGCGACAUUCCACGUCGUCCGUGCCGCAGCUAACGCAUUAAGUGCCCCGCCUGGGGAGUACGGCCGCAAGGCUAAAACUCAAAGGAAUUGACGG